AAGAAAAAAAAAACUAUUGAUAAUCACAGACAAUUAUUAUUGUAGUGUAUUGUUAUAAUUAUUUUUUUUUAUAUAAAUCACAAAAAAAAAAACCGGACGUGUACAUGGGGCGCGGCUGACUGCGGUCGCCUCUCGACGGUGCGAAAAAUUACGAGAAAAAUAAAAAACAUUCUGUAUUGUCAUUACUUUUUUUCGUUGUUUCCCCCUUUAUAGAAAUCGGUUUAUUAUCGUAUAAUAUAUUAAAAAAAAAACAACACCCGACGGCGACGGUCGUUGUAUUUUUUCGAAAAAAAAAAAAAGAACCGCGUUCGACGAACAACAACAAUGAUUUUGUACCGGACAAAUAGCAUUGCAAUGAAAUUUAAUUUUUUUUUUUUUUUUUAUUAUUAAUAUCGGUUUUAAUUUUUAUUUUGUUUUGUUUUUUUUUAUUUCAUUUAACAGCUAGUGAAUUGAGCGCAUAUAACAUU
Molecule: non-coding RNA, 467 nt
Organism: Cinara cedri
Lineage: Eukaryota; Metazoa; Arthropoda; Insecta; Hemiptera; Aphididae
Source: the annotation of a GenBank genome assembly